UGGGAUAACUCCGGGAAACCGGAGCUAAUACCGGAUAGUUCCUUGAACCGCAUGGUUCAAGGAUAAAGACGGUUUCGGCUGUCACUUACAGAUGGACCCGCGGCGCAUUAGCUAGUUGGUGAGGUAACGGCUCACCAAGGCGACGAUGCGUAGCCGACCUGAGAGGGUGAUCGGCCACACUGGGACUGAGACACGGCCCAGACUCCUACGGGAGGCAGCAGUAGGGAAUCUUCCGCAAUGGACGAAAGUCUGACGGAGCAACGCCGCGUGAGUGAUGAAGGUUUUCGGAUCGUAAAGCUCUGUUGUUAGGGAAGAACAAGUGCAAGAGUAACUGCUUGCACCUUGACGGUACCUAACCAGAAAGCCACGGCUAACUACGUGCCAGCAGCCGCGGUAAUACGUAGGUGGCAAGCGUUGUCCGGAAUUAUUGGGCGUAAAGGGCUCGCAGGCGGUUUCUUAAGUCUGAUGUGAAAGCCCCCGGCUCAACCGGGGAGGGUCAUUGGAAACUGGGAAACUUGAGUGCAGAAGAGGAGAGUGGAAUUCCACGUGUAGCGGUGAAAUGCGUAGAGAUGUGGAGGAACACCAGUGGCGAAGGCGACUCUCUGGUCUGUAACUGACGCUGAGGAGCGAAAGCGUGGGGAGCGAACAGGAUUAGAUACCCUGGUAGUCCACGCCGUAAACGAUGAGUGCUAAGUGUUAGGGGGUUUCCGCCCCUUAGUGCUGCAGCUAACGCAUUAAGCACUCCGCCUGGGGAG
RNAcentral lists this ribosomal RNA (755 nucleotides) under Bacillus sp. MOLA 437. RNAcentral describes it as "bacterial SSU rRNA". It matches the Rfam family "Bacterial small subunit ribosomal RNA", at positions 139 to 880 of the family's 1533-position model. Lineage: Bacteria; Bacillati; Bacillota; Bacilli; Caryophanales; Bacillaceae. The record is from RNAcentral.